GACGAACGCUGGCGGCGUGCUUAACACGUGCAAGUCGAACGGAAAGGCCCUGCUUUUGUGGGGUGCGCGAGUGGCGAACGGGUGAGUAACACGUGAGUAACCGGCCCUUGACUUUGGGAUAACUUCAGGAAACUGGGGCUAAUACCGGAUAGGAGCUCCUGCGGCAUGGUGGGGGUUGGAAAGUUUCGGCGGUUGGGGAUGGACUCGCGGCUUAUCAGCUUGUUGGUGGGGUAGUGGCUUACCAAGGCUUUGACGGGUAGCCGGCCUGAGAGGGUGACCGGCCACAUUGGGACUGAGAUACGGCCCAGACUCCUCCGGGAGGCAGCAGUGGGGAAUAUUGCACAAUGGGCGGAAGCCUGAUGCAGCAACGCCGCGUGCGGGAUGACGGCCUUCGGGUUGUAAACCGCUUUCGCCUGUGACGAAGCGUGAGUGACGGGAAUGGGUAAAGAAGCACCGGCUAACUACGU
This 467-nucleotide ribosomal RNA is filed under the name uncultured bacterium. RNAcentral's name for it is "partial 16S ribosomal RNA". It matches the Rfam family "Bacterial small subunit ribosomal RNA", at positions 28 to 506 of the family's 1533-position model. The record is from RNAcentral.